RNAcentral lists this microRNA precursor (91 nucleotides) under Tupaia belangeri chinensis (Chinese tree shrew). Its description in RNAcentral is "Tupaia chinensis (Chinese tree shrew) mir-935 microRNA precursor family". It matches the Rfam family "mir-935 microRNA precursor family". Lineage: Eukaryota; Metazoa; Chordata; Mammalia; Scandentia; Tupaiidae. The record is from Rfam by way of RNAcentral.
GGCGGGGGGGCGGGCGGCAGUGGCGGGAGCGGCCCCUCGGCCAUCCUCCGUCUGCCCAGUUACCGCUUCCGCUACCGCCGCCGCUCCCGCU